UACGGGGGGGGGCAAGCGUUGUUCGGAAUUACUGGGCGUAAAGGGCUCGUAGGCGGCCAACUAAGUCAGACGUGAAAUCCCCAGGCUUAACCUGGGAACUGCGUCUGAUACUGGAUGGCUUGAAUUCGGGAGAGGGAUGCAGAAUUCCAGGUGUAGCGGUGAAAUGCGAAGAUAUUCGGAAGAACACCGGUGGCGAAAGCGACCUUCUGGGCCAUUACUGACGCUGAGGUACGAAAGCUUGGGGAGCGAACGGG
Molecule: ribosomal RNA, 254 nt
Filed under: uncultured bacterium
Lineage: Bacteria
Description: partial 16S ribosomal RNA
Rfam family: Bacterial small subunit ribosomal RNA
Source: RNAcentral